This 5581-nucleotide long non-coding RNA is filed under the name Erythranthe guttata (spotted monkey flower). RNAcentral's name for it is "long non-coding RNA (EGUT_LNC001934)". Lineage: Eukaryota; Viridiplantae; Streptophyta; Magnoliopsida; Lamiales; Phrymaceae. The record is from RNAcentral.
UCGGUUUUCAAACAUCUUUUCUAUCCCUUCUUCGAUAAUUUUGAGAAACGAUCAUCAGUUGUUCUAUUUAUAUAUGCGAUAUUAUUUUUUAUUCAGAUCAAUCGCAAGAAAUCCUCGAUUGGAGAAAGCGUUUAAACAUCAUCGAAGGCAUUUGUCGAGGCCUUCUUUACCUUCACAGAGAUUCGAGAUUAAAGAUAAUCCAUCGAGACCUCAAGCCCAGUAACAUAUUGCUGGAUAAUGAUUGGAAUCCGAAGAUUUCCGAUUUCGGGAUGGCGAGAAUUUUCGGAAGCAACCAAGAUCAUAUCAGCACUGUAAGAGUUGUCGGAACAUAGUAAGCGAUCGCACAUAUUAUUAUAUUUGAUCCAUUUUAUAUUAUUUUAUCGGUAUAUAUAAAACUUUAAGAAUUUAAUUGGAGCAUGCAGCGGAUAUAUGGCUCCCGAAUAUGCAAUCGAAGGAAAAUUUUCCGAAAAAUCUGAUGUUUUCAGCUUCGGGGUGUUGAUGUUAGAGAUUGUUUGCGGAAGAAGGAACACGAGCUUUUACAAUCACGAAACCUCUGCCAAUCUCUUAGGACAUGUAUGUAUGUAUGUCUCUACCUUAAAUUUUAUAUGUCUUGUUGUCGUAUAUUUAUUUAUUUAUUUUCUCCGAAAAAAAAGGUGUGGAAACUGUGGAGUGAAGACGAUGUAGGAGAAUCGAUAGACGUAAGAAUAUCGAGUCGAAGUUAUCGUACAGAAGUGGUGAGAUGCAUACAAAUAGGAUUACUGUGUGUGCAAGAACUGCCUAAAGAUAGGCCUUCGGUUUCGAGUGUGCUCUCAAUGCUUAAGAGCGGAAUAGCAGAGCUUCCGGAACCUAAACAAGUUGCAUUUGCGUUGAAUUCAAAUAGUAGUUCGAAUACGAGGGCAAGUUCUUCUCAGCAGAGUCAAAAGAGUAGUGGCUCUGUGAAUAAUGUUACUAUCUCCGUCGUUGACGGUCGAUGAAAUAUUCGUAGUUGUCUCGAAGAAGAUUGUGAAUACAGAGAGUGGAAUAUACAUAGGGAUUUCUUAGCUUAUGUAUGUAUUUAUGUAUAGGCUUGUGUACGAGGAGGUUCAAGAUCGGUCAUCUUUAUUAAUUUAGGUUCAGUUUUUUUUCUCUCUUUUGCGCGUAAGCUCACUCGAUCAACAUGUAUUGGAGUUUAUUGCAUAUAGUAAACAUGUGUUAUAUCGAAUUGCUAAAGAAUUCCUCGCGUUAUAAUUAUUAACAAAAAAUCCCUUAUAAUGCAAAUUUUAAUUGAGUUUUUAGGGGUACUUUGCUAAAACAAAUAUUUUUUAUAUGGGGAGUUCCUGCUAAUAAAACAACAGAAGAAGUUUUUUAGCAAUUAGAGAAGACACGGAGGUGCCCAGCCCAAUGCAAUAAAUCGAGCGAAAUGCAUUUAGUAUCCAUGUGAAAAUCGCAAUUGUGUGAUUCCCCUGUCAUAAAUAAAUUAGCAAAUACCCCCGUAUAUUUAAUUUUAGAUUACAUACUCGACCAAUUUAUCUUUUCCCCAUAGACCAUUGCAAAAGGACAAAAAUAACCUGAGAGGUUUUUGCAAAAAGAAAAGCCUCAUCCAUUAAAUAUGUAAAAACUAAGGAACCAAAUUGAAUUUUUAAAAAGAUACAGAAAUUUAAAGAGGUCAAAUUGCAAUUUUCUAAAACAUAAUUUAAAGAAAGUCAUCAUUGUCUUCACAGGAACAUAUACGUAAUUUCCGAAAUUUUGGAACAAAAAUUGAAACCCAAAAAAACAGAAGGGCAUAUUACAAAUAAGCCCAUCAGUGGGAACUUAUUCAUAAAGAGAUCCAGACAAUAUUCUCCUUUACCAAUAAGUCCACACAUGGUCCAGAUUUAUGUAAAGGACUAAAAUAACCCCUCUUACUUUAAUAUGCUCCAAUUUCAUCCUUAACUUACUUUAACUUCAAUUUGACCCCAACUUUCACAAAUUAUUCAAUUUUGACCCAAAACUUUUUUUUUUUCACAAAUUUUUUUUUUUUCAAAAACUUUUUUUUCCCGCCGGAUUCCGGCGUUGACCGGCGGUCAACGCCGGUCUCCGGCGUUGACUUUUUUUUUUUUUUUUUUUUAUUUUUUUUAUUUUUUUUUUUCCUUCCGGAUUUUUUUUCCGGAUUCCGGCGUUGACCGGCGGUCAACGCCGGUCUCCGGCGUUGACUUUUUAUUUUAUUUUUUUUUUUAUUUUUUUUUUCUUCCGGAUUUUUUUUCCGGAUUCCGGCGGUCAACGCCGGUCUCCGGCGUUGACUUUUUAAAUUUUUUUUUUUUUUUUUUUUUUUUUUUCUGUAACUUUUUUUUCCGUUUAAACAGCAAUAUUGCUGUGAAUGACAGUAAUAUUAACUAUAUUGCUGUUAAACACAAUAAAAUUAACUAAACUAUAGUUUAACACAUUGAUAUUGCUAUAUUAAUCUCUAGCACAUUAAUAUUAACACAACAAAAUUCAUUAUUAUUGUAUAAUAAAGUAAUAUUACUAUGUUGUCCGUUCAACAAAUGUAAACAAAAUAAAAAAAACCAAAAGAAUUAAUAUUACUGUGAGUGACAGUAAUAUUACUAUAGCAACAGUAAUAUUACAAUAGUAGACAGUAAUAUUAUUACGUUACUUCGUGAAUAACUCGAACAAAACAAACACCCCAAAAAAAUAAUAAUAUUGAUGUUGUUGACAGUAAUAUUAUUGUGUUUACAGUUAUUUUACUGUCAACGACAGUAAUAUAAUUACGUUGACUUGUCAACAAAUCAAAAAAAAUAAAAAAAAAUAAUAAUAAAUAAAAAAAUAUAAUAUUGCAUUAAUUUACUGUCAACGGCAGCACAAUUACAUAAAUGUAAUGUCAACGGCAGUACAAUUACGUUAAUUAACUAUCAUUGACAGUAUAAUUACGCUAAAUUACUGUCAGUGACAGCACAAUUACGGUCAACGUGUAGCGGCGGGCGUGGAAAAACAAAACAAACCAAACAAAAAAAAAAAACUUAAAAAAACACUAAAGAAAGAGACCGCCGGAAACCGGCGAAAAAAUCCGGAAGAAAAGAAAAGAAAAAAAAAAAAAAGAAAAAAAAAAAAAAAAAAAAAAGUCAACGCCGGAAUCCGGAAAAAAAAUCCGGAAGAAAAAAAAAAAAAAAAAAAAAGUUUAAAAAGUCAACGCCGGAAUCCGGCGGCAAAAAAAAGUUUUUGAAAAAAAAAAAAUUUUUGAAAAAAAAAAAAAAUUUGGGUCAAAAUUUAAUAAUUUGUGAAAUUUGGAAUCAAAUUGAGAUUAAAUUAAGUUAAGGAUGAAAUUGGAGCAUAUUAAAUUAUACUCCAAAAAAAAGUCAAAAUUGAAUUUUUGUGGUCAAAAUUGAACUUUUAUGGACAAAAUUGAUUAAUUUGGAUUACAAUUAAGAAUUGGGUAUAAAUGAUUGAGGGUAAUAUUGGGAUAUACAUGAAUGUUUCCUUUAGUUAUAAUAAAUAUUAAAGGGAUGGGCUUAUUGGUGAAAGAGAUAUGUCCCCUAUACCUAGAAUAAUAAACAUGCUUGGUUGGGGACUUUUGCAUAAAAAUCCCAAAAAAGAAUUGAUUUUUUUUUUCUGAAAAAGUCAUUUCUCCGUCCGAUUUUCACUCGUGAUAAAUUAAAAUUUCAAAUUUGAAAAAAUUAAAAAAAUUGCAAAAUUCGUUGUAAUUGACUCAAGAAAUUAAUGGAAUAAUAAUCUCAAAUUAAUCUGGCUUGGAGGGACCGGGUGGUUUCGGCGCUGAAUAUUUCAGAGCUUGAAUUUCCAUUAAUGUCAAACUUCUUUCAAAUAUCGCUUUCUACAGUUCCGCUGACAAUAACUCUGCAAUUAAUUCAACUACUUACCUUCAAAACCUACUGAUAAUAAUUUCAUUUGUUCUGUUGUUCCAAAGAGAGAAACAAUAUCAUGAUCAUCCGAAUCAAGACUCUGAAUCAUCUAUCUGCAUUCAUAUUCAUCACACUCUUUGCUUUCUACCCAAUAAUUUGCGGAGCACAAGGCAACAACAACACCACAAUUACAAAUUCUUGCGAAACCUACGCCAGAUGCGGAGCUUUCGGCAGCUGCAACUCACAAGGCUCCCCAAUUUGCACCUGCUUACGUGGAUUCGAACCGCGGAACAAGCGAGAAUGGGGUUCCGGAAACUGGACCGCCGGGUGUUUGAGAAAAUUCCCCUUAGAGUGCCGUAUAGGAAAUAAUAGCAGUAGUAGUGGUAAUGUUAAUGGGGGAAGAGAAGAUGUGUUUUUGAGGGUAGAGAUGAUCAAAGUUUCGGGUUACUCGCAGCGUUGGCCCGGCCCGAAAAGCGAGUGCCAGAAGAUGUGCUGGAUGAACUGUUCUUGCUUAGCUUAUGCACACGAUUAUAAUUUCGGGUGCAUGUUUUGGAAUAGUACCUUGUUCGACAUUCAGAAAUUCCCUAGUGGAUUGGGUUCCGAUCUUUAUUUUCGUGUCGCGAAUUCUGAACUUGGUAAUUUGACUUGGUUUUUCGGUUCUUGAUUUGAUAUAGACAUACUUGUUAGUGUAUUUUCAGCCCCGUUUUUUAAUUGUUGAGAUGCCCUUUUGAAAGAUUGUGCUGAUUCGGCUUCCUUUGGUUGCUGCUGCGUUGAUGCAGAACACAAGAAAGACUUGAAGAAAAUCGUAAUAGCUUCGGUUAUAAUCGGGAUUUCUCUAUUGUCCUUAUGCAUGUAUUUUUCUUGGAAAUGGAUGUGUAAACAAAGAGGUGAGAGUACAGAUUUUCAGUCCCAUGAAUAAAACCGAUAUUUUCGGCUUUCACUACUUAGUAUAUUUUUCUUGUUAAUUAGGCGAAAAAAGAGCCGUCGUGCACAGAGGAGAGAGAGAAUCAGAUUCAAUUAAUCCGUCUGUUCAAGAAACAUUAAGUAGGUUUAAUCUUGAAGAGUUACCAUUAAUCAAAUUUGAGGUUCUCGUAAAUGCAACUAACAACUUCUCGAAUGCUAACGAGCUCGGAAAGGGCGGUUUUGGCAUUGUUUACAAGGUAAAUGUGUUUUCUUUCCUUAUAUAUUUAUAUAUACAUAUAUAUGUAUGCGAUUAUAAAAAUUCGUUGGGUGCAAUUACUUUAGGGAGAAGUGGCGAAUGGAAGAGAAAUCGCGGUGAAGAGGCUCUCGAAAGGGUCGGGACAAGGGAUGGAUGAAUUCAUGAAUGAAGCGUUGCUUAUUUCUAAACUCCAACACAGAAAUCUCGUUAGACUAUUGGGAUGUUGUGUGGAGAAUAACGAGAAGAUUCUUAUAUACGAAUACAUGCCCAAUAAGAGCUUGGACUUCUUCCUCUUCGGUCGGUUUUCAAACAUCUUUAGUUUCUAUCUCUUGUUCGACAAAUUUGAGGAAACUCAUCACUUGUUCUGUUUAUAUAUGCAAUAUUAUUUUUUUAUUCAGAUCAAUCACAAGAAAUCCUAGAUUGGAGAAAGCGUUUAAACAUAAUUGAAGGCAUUUGUCGAGGCCUUGUUUACCUUCACAGAGAUUCGAGAUUAAAGAUUAUCCAUCGAGACCUAAAGCCCAGUAACAUAUUGCUGGAUAAUAAUUGGAAUCCGAAGAUUUCCGAUUUCGGGAUGGCUAGAAUUUUCGGAACCAAGCAAGAUCAUAUCAGC